Molecule: ribosomal RNA, 492 nt
Filed under: uncultured bacterium
Lineage: Bacteria
Description: partial 16S ribosomal RNA
Rfam family: Bacterial small subunit ribosomal RNA
Source: RNAcentral
AGUGAACGCUGGCGGUAGGCCUAACACAUGCAAGUCGAACGGCAGCAUAGUAAGAGCUUGCUCUUACGGGUGGCGAGUGGCGGACGGGUGAGGAAUACAUCGGAAUCUACUUUUUCGUGGGGGGUAACGUAGGGAAACUUACGCUAAUACCGCAUACGACCUACGGGUGAAAGCAGGGGAUCUUCGGACCUUGCGCGAUUGAAUGAGCCGAUGUCGGAUUAGCUAGUUGGCGGGGUAAAGGCCCACCAAGGCGACGAUCCGUAGCUGGUCUGAGAGGAUGAUCAGCCACACUGGAACUGAGACACGGUCCAGACUCCUACGGGAGGCAGCAGUGGGGAAUAUUGGACAAUGGGCGCAAGCCUGAUCCAGCCAUACCGCGUGGGUGAAGAAGGCCUUCGGGUUGUAAAGCCCUUUUGUUGGGAAAGAAAAGCAGCAGGUUAAUACCCCGCUGUUCUGACGGUACCCAAAGAAUAAGCACCGGCUAACUUCGUG